RNAcentral lists this long non-coding RNA (41950 nucleotides) under Vitis vinifera (wine grape). RNAcentral's name for it is "long non-coding RNA (VVIN_LNC000077)". The record is from RNAcentral. Lineage: Eukaryota; Viridiplantae; Streptophyta; Magnoliopsida; Vitales; Vitaceae.
AAAAACAUGGCUCUAACUGCAGGUAAGUUGGAGAUUGAAACAGAGAUCAAAGCAGUUGCUGAUGAGUUCUUUAAAAUCUUCAGGAGCCAAGCACACCACCUGCCUAAUAUCUGUUCCGAUAAAAUACACAAAAUCUAGGUACAUGAAGGUGACUGGGAGACUCAGGGAUCCGUCAAGCAUUGGAUGUUCAAAUUGAUGAAUGGUAGUUUUUCAUUCAUACUUUCUUUCGUUCAUAUACAGAGUAUAUAUAGAGGGUAAUCACCAUUCUAAGAAUGAGAAAGGAUGAUACAAGGAAAGAAUAAUAUAAGGAAAUAACAACUAAUAUCCUAAUAUCUCAACUUUCCUAAUAUCUCAAUAUUCCUAAUAUCUUAAUAUUCAUAAUAUCUUAACUUUCCUAAUAUCUAAACACUAAAUGAUAUAAGGAAAUAAUGAUAUAAGGAAAACAUUCCUAAUAUCUCAACACUCCCCCUCAAGUUGGUGCAUAGAUGUCACACAUGUCCAACUUGUCUAAAAUUUUUUGAGAAUACUUGACUUGAGACAGCUUUGGUGAGGAUAUCGACUAACCAAUCUUACUUUCCACCUUGGAUCAACUAAGGCUUCUUGCACAUUGUUAGGAAUAACUACAGUAAAUAAUUGAUUUACAAAUGACUUAUUUGAUUCAGACAAACGAUGGUUAGACACAUAGUUGCUCAUGGGAUAUUUGACUUUGGUAGACAAAUCAGGUUCAUAUGUGGGUUUAGGAAUACCAAGAUUAUGACGAUGUGGUAACCGUUUCAUGAAUGGAUCGGGUUCCAAAUUAAGAACACCCUCAACAGACGACGAUUGGUUUGAUAUUUCAGUGAAGACAUCUUCAGACCCAAAUUGUUGACCUCUCAUAUCCAACUCACCCACUUCCUGGUUCACUAGUUCAGAUUGUCCAGAUUCAUUCUCCUUAGAGAUAUGAUAAUCAUAAUCAAGAGUCUGAAUUUCCUUAUGGUACUCCCCCUGAAGUUCAGACUCAGAUGAAAAUUACAUCGAAUCUUCAUGAAACACCACAUCCAUUGUAAUAUACAUUUGUCGAGUUGGAGGAUGGUAACAUCGAUAUCCCUUUUUGUGCAAUGCAUAUCCAACAAACACACAUUGCAAUGCAUGGGAAGUUAACUUAGUGCGUUGGUGCUUGUGUAGAUGCACAAAUGCCACGCAACCAAAAACACGAGGAGGUAGAUUUGGGACGGUUGGGGCAACUACGACAUUAGUAAGAGCUUGGAGAGGUGUUUGAAAGUUAAUUGAGCUAGAAGGUACCCGAUUGAUCAAGUAUACGGCAGAUGUGAUUGCUUCUCCCCAAUAAGAUAUCGGUGUUUUUGCUGCUAUCAAGGAAGCACGAAAAACCUCUAACAAGUGCCGAUUUUUUCGUUCAACGACUCCAUUUUGCUGGGGUGUAUUGGAACAAGUAGUUUGAUGAAUGAUGCCAUGUCCUUCCAAAUACUUUUGAAGAUCAGAACUUUGAUAUUCUCCACCAUUAUCACUACGCAGAACCCGAACCUUUGCAUUGUAUUGAGUUUCAAUCAUUUUAUGAAAUUUUUGAAACAACAAGUUCACUUCAUCUUUGGUCUUCAUCAAGUAUAACCAUGUCAUUCUGGUACAAUCAUCAAUAAAAGUAACAAACCAACGCGAACCACUCAAAGUUGGGACUUUGGAUGGGCCCCAAACAUCAGAAUGUAUAAUCAUAAAAGGAGACGGACUUUUAUUCAAAAUUAAUGGAAAGGAAGCACGAUGGCUUUUAGCCAAUUCACAAAUAUCACAACGGAAACCAGAAAUAUCACUCUUUGCAAACAAACUAGGAAAUAAUUUUUUUAAAUAUCCAAAGGAAGCAUGUCCCAAACGUCGAUGCCACAACCAAAUUUCAGACUUUUUCUUCUCUUCCUCAGAUCCAUCUGCCAUCAAGGCUUGUCGCAACUUAUUUGAAUCAUUUGACUGCAAGUCCAAAUAAUAGAGUUUUCCCCGCUUAAUACCAAAACCAAUCGUCUGUCUUGUUUGGAUGUCCUUAAAAACACAAAAUUCAGGCCAAAAAAUGACAAUACAAGAUAAGACUGCAGUGAUUUGAGAAACUGACAAAAGAUUGUAAUUUAAGGAUGGAACAACUAAAAUAGAAUCCAAAUUCAAAGUAUCAGUAAGAGUUAAGGAUCCUUCCCCAAUGACUGGGGUUGUGUUACCAUUGGCUGUGGAAACAAAUUUUUGUGAGGAAGGUCUAACGGGUGAGACUUGUCUAGAAUCAAAAGUCAUAUGAUCUGUAGCACCAGAAUCAAUUAUCCAUGCAUUAUUAAUAACAGGUGUAGAAGUAUUUAAAAACUUACCACCAUAAUCUGUAGCGGCUAUCAAUGCAGAGGCUUUCUCAUCAACAUUAGCCUCUGUUUUUAUUUCGGCAAUAGCUGCAGUCGAGGUUUUCUUGGAAUUCUUCUUCUGUUGAUCACGAUUGUGAUCCCACCAGUCUGGAUAUCCCACAAUUUCAAAGCAACGACUCUUGGUAUGACCAGUCUUAUUGUAGUGAGUGCAUUUGAAGGUUGACUUAUCAAUAUUAUGGUCUGUCUUAGGAUGAUUGGUCUUGGAUUGGUCCUGCCAAUUUCGGGUUAAUUGUUGUCGGACUACCAUAGCUGAGGUGUCAGGGUUGUCAGAUUCUGCUUUCAUACUAGCAUGACGUAAUGCCUCUCGUUGAAUCAGUGCAUAGCAUUCUUCCAAAUAGGGAAGAGGAUCUUUGCGUAGAAUCUCUCCUCAAACUUGCUCAAAGUCACCACCCAAUCCAGCAAGAAAGAUGUGCACCCGUUGUCGUUCAAUGGAUUUCCGGUAUGCUGCAAUGUCUUCAGGGUCUUUCAUGACUACCUUCUCCCGAUGAUCCAAUUCGCAAAAAAGUUCAAUUAACUCUCCAUAAUAUUCAGAAAGAGACCUGCCGUUUUAUUUGGCAGUGAAGACUUUUUGAUUCAAAGUGAAAACUUGUAAUUCAUCACUUUCAUCAUAGAAGGCCUUUGAUAAUGCACUCAAAAUUUCUUGAGCGGUGGGUAAGCGUAAGUAAUGCUUCAUAAUUUCUGGACUCAUGGACAUUAACAACCAUCUCUUCACCUUUUGAUUCUCAGCAUACCAUUUUUCAUAUCCAUCUUCUGACUCUUUUGGUAGAUUUGUCUUACCUCGGAUGUAGGAAAGUUUUUCCCGUUCGGCAAUAUGCAUCUCCACGAGUUGUGACCAAACGUCAUAGUUUGAUUUAGUCAAAAUAAUUCCUGAAUUGAAAGUACCUUCAGAUUGAAAAACAAUAAUACUUUUUUCACUCAUUUUUUUUUUCUCUCGCAAAGAAGGGGCAAUUGUUGGCCUUACAACAAAAUAUCCAGGAUUUCAGGAACCUAGCUCUGAUACCAUGUUCAAAUUGAUGAAUGAUAGUUUUUCAUUCAUACUUUCUUUCGUUCAUGUACAGAGUAUAUAUAGAGGGUAAUCACCAUUCUAAGAAUGGGAAAGGAUGAUACAAGGAAAGAAUAAUAUAAGGAAAUAACAACUAAUAUCCUAAUAUCUCAACUUUCCUAAUAUCUCAAUAUUCCUAAUAUUUCAAUAUUCAUAAUAUCUUAACUUUCCUAAUAUCUAAACACUAAAUGAUAUAAGGAAAUAAUGAUAUAAGGAAAGCAUUCCUAAUAUCUCAACAUUGGAGUUACACCAUUGGUAUAACAUGCAACUCAAACUCAGAACUCCAAAACACUAGCUGGCAUUAUAUUCUGCUAAAAUAUUUUUUGAUGUUUAUCUUUCAUUUCAUUGUUGUUUUCUUCACCUCUCAAAUUUUCUUUUAUAAUAAAUGCAUGCCUCUUUGUACUUUUUUUUUUCUUGCAAAGAAGUGACUAUAAUCGAUGGUUCUUAGUAAUGUAUAUGGCAUCUAAUAAUAGCUUUAACAUAUUCCAAUUAUGUUUAACCUCACAUUUUGGUUUGAACUAGGAGGGAAUUCUAAGAGUAUUAAGGAGACUGUGGAAUCAAAAGAUGAAGAGAACAGGUCCAUCACGUUCAAGGUUUUGGAUGGGGAGCUGUUGAACGACUACAAGAGCUACAAGUUCACCACACAAGCGAUACCAAAGGGGGAGGGCUGCUUGGUGAAAUGGACCGCUGAAUAUGAGAAGGCAAGUGAGGAUGGAUCAGAUCCCCGUGGCUACCUGGAGCUUGCAGUUAAUAUCACCAAAGAUAUCGAAAGUCACCUUCUCAAUGCAUAACGCCAAGACCAUAUGUACCGUUUGCUAGUAUUUCUCUCUUAAAUAAAGUUUGGAACUUGGAUGUGCAUCUAUGUACUAUCUCGACCUUUUAAUAAACGCAAAUUCCAGCUGUACUGGAGUUGGUGACUAAUGCCGAGAAGACAAACUAGGUUCCCGAUCCUCAGUUAUUUAUGCAAUAAUAUUAAUUAGUGCAUGCGUGUGAUUAGUUGUAUGGUUCUGGGAGUUGCUUUGUGAUUGUUAAUCGGUGUCUUUUGUAGUGGGAUUAUUACAUGCAUGUAAUGUGAAGAACAUAUGAUCCAUGAGGAAAUAAAUUAAAUGAAAAUUACCCAGGCUCCAUCAUGAGGAGCCUUUGAGCAUGCCCACAAGCCUACGUUCCUGCAUUCAAGUCACAUAUGUGAAAAUUCCACUUUGCACAUAAUCUAAAUAAUUUAUCUAAAAAUCUAAGAAGUAAUCUCUCUCUCCAUCUAUGUCUCUCUCUCCCCAUCUAUAUGUACCUCAAAUGAAGAGGUAAGGUAAUGUAAAAUCCCCACCUCAAAUUUAGGGAUAUUUAUAUAAUUUGAAAAUUUUAAAAAGACCUACAUUAAUUUUGUAAAUAUUUAUGUAAUCAACUUUCUCAGAUUAAUUAAAUAAAAAAUUGACCAAGAUGAUUAAAAAUGCAAAUUUGAUGAGGACAUGAAGUAAAAAGUGGUAGGGUUUAAGGACAAUGGCUUCUACUGAAUUUUGGUGAGGUGGUGAUACAAUGAGGAAAAUAGAUUAAUAAAGUUUAUCCAUGGAAAUAGAAAAUAGAAAACAAAAAAUAUAAAAUAAUAAUAAUAUUCAUGUUAAUCAUUUAAUAAAUAUAAUAAAUGCAAUUAUAUAUGCUAAGUGAAAAUAACAAUAUUAUUAUUAUUAUUAUUAAUGCUUAUGAUAGGUGAGAAUUAAGUCUUUUAGAAAUUUGAGUAAUUUUUUCAAGGUAAAGCUUAUAGUUCAUUAAGUCAUUUUAUAAUUCCUUAUAUAUUUUUUUAUUGAUUUUUAAAGUAUCAAAAUGUGUAAAUUCUUUAAAGUGGAUCAAAUAGUUUUUUUUUUUUUUGAAAUAUUUUGUGAUUUGUUUGGUUGUUAUGAAAGUGAAUUUUAUUACUUAAUUUAUUAUAAUGAUUUUAAAACUCUAGUUAUUAGUGGUUUUAGUCAACAAGGAUAAGUUAUUAACCUUCUUUACCUUUGGUCAGUGAAGGGAUGUAGUAUAACACUAGCCAAUAAAUGUGUCAUUGGUCUUGUAUACUAUUGAUUAGAAAUUGUUAUGUCCACCAAUGAGAGUAUUAAAGUGAGGUGAGCCACCUAAUGUAAGUCCCAAUAUUUGGGCACAACGUUAUUAUUAAUUAAUAAACAAAAAUAAAUAGUUUAUUUAUAAAAAUUUUUUUCUAAAUAUAAAUUGAGUAUGCAAAUUGUAUUUUUUAAUUCUAUCUUUAAAUUUAAAGUGUUUAAUCUUUUGAAGAAAGUGAAUUUAAUUUUUUGAAGAAAGUGAAUUUAAUUUUUGAAUUAAAUAAAUUAACCUGAUAAUUGAUUUUUAUAAAAAUUUGAUAUCUCUUAGAAUUUAAUUCUCUACAAUAUAUACCUGAUUUUUUUCAUUGAACUAUUUUUUCUUAUUGAACCAUUGAAGUCACCCUUCUUUAUUAUUCCCCUUUUCAUAUACAAAUGGUAUAAGUGAGAAGGGAUUACGGGAGGAGAAAUGUUUCUAUUAUAAACAACUUUGGAAUUGAAUUAUGUUGGAUUGUGAAACGUGAAUCGGUUUAAUUUAUUGUAUUUUGCAAGGAAUGCUAGAGGUCGAGUGUCUAAUUGAGCUUGCGGGGAUCAAGAGUCUUGAUCGGUUCGUUGGGACUUGGGAUUGAGUUGUCCAAUCAGCUCAUGGGGUUAAAGGAAUAUCCUUCGAUUUUUUUUAAUACGAUGAAUAACGAGUUUGUCCUAAUUGUAUAUUUAAUCUUAUUAUAAUUUAAAGUUUCUUUUUAGAGAGUGUGUGACUGCAAUCGAAAGGAUAAUGAGUGUUUAGUACUCGUCUUAUUUUUUUCUGAACCAAAUUAAAAAUCUAUUGUUUUUCUUUAUUUUCUAAUCGUGUGUGCAUGAUUUGAUCAACAAAUUAUUUAUAGGAUUGUUUACUUAAAUUUGAUUGUAAUUUAUUUAAGUUUUUAGGAGAAUCAUUAAAUUUAUUAUUACAAUAUUUUAUUAGUUUUGAAUUUGUUAUUUAAAGUGAUUCAUUUACUUGGUUCAAAGGUUUGACAUAUAAAGUCACCGUGGUUCCCUUGGUGUCGCGGGUGAUUUUGUAAGUGCCUUCGGACUACAGAAUAUUAAUUAACCUACCAAUCUUCAAUGUAAUCUAAGAUGCAGAAAGAUCUUGUGGGUUAAGGUCAAGUGGGCGCUUCAAUAUUUAUCAUGUCUUCAAAAAAAACUUCAGGGCCCCAGUCCAGAUUCUCAGAUAUGGAUUCUAACAGUUGCUACCAAUCACGGGGGUGAAAACAAAUCAGUGUCGCAGAAAUCGCUAUCAAUGUGGUACUGGAAAAAAAAGAAGAGAUUCCUCCACUUGUUCUUGAAAUUUAUCUGAACGCAUGCAAUAAAUCAAUGCUCCAUAAUCUCCUGCACAUGCAAAUUAAAAUCAAAAUCAGGCCAUUGGCCUCUCACAUUACCAUUCUUGGCCGUUUUCUGGUGUGCAUAUAAAGAGUAAUAACCACACCAUCCAUCUUUUACUCUGGUUGUCACACUCCCACCACUCUCCCACCACUUCUUCCCUAAUCUCCUAACAUCAAAUACAAAAAUGCCACAUCCUUAUUAUUGAAAAUUAAAUUCCCAUACAUAUAAAUCUUAUGCCAGAUUUUUUGUUGAUUGGAUGAUAUUCGGCCAUAUAAAAUUCAGUAUCAAUCACAAACAUUCGUUAUCCAAUCUUGAUACCGAAGAGGAUAGAGUAUCAAUCCAUCUAUGGGCCCGGUGCACCAGGCCUUCCGCCUAUAAAAGUUUUCUAGGGUGGUGAACUAUAUUCUUCAAACACAGCCUUGGCUAGUUACUAUCUGGUUUCCAAAGAAAGAAGAAAUGGCUCAGAUAGAUAAGAUGGAAACCCAUGUAGAGAAAAAGUCCCCUGCCAAUGAGUUCUACGAGGUCUUCAGCAGCAAAGCUCAUCUCAUUCCCAAGGCCUGCCCUGACAAAAUCAAGAGCAUCGAAGUGGUUGAAGGUGAUUGGAAGAGUGUGGGCUCUGUCAAGCUCUGGACUUACUGUAUCGGUAAGGCAACGCUAACCAUUAUUCCCAUGCCACCCUCAAUCAAACAAAAUAAUACACUCAGCACAUGGACCUUCUUGUUUUUAAUUAUUAUUGCUGUGGAAGAUAAUAAUAACAAAACAAAGGGAAUGACCCCUUCUGAUACGGGUGCCUCCUCAUAUUAGUUUUUUGAAGUUCUCCAUGCAAACUAAAGUAGAAAUCAAUCUUUAGGCACAUCCCUUAUCUGAGCUUCACAUGACCUUAGUUUCAUUUUAAAUUAACCUGCAGGAGGAAAUACUUCGUCUAGCAAGGAGAGGGUGGAAAAGAAAGACGAUAAGAACAAGUCCAUCACUUUCAAGGCUCUGGAUGGAGAGGUCAUGAAGGAUUUCAAGAGCGUCAUCUCCAUCCUUGAAGUGAGUGCAAAGGAUGACGGCAGCCUGGUGAAAUGGACUUUGGAAUAUGAGAAGUCAAAUGAGAAACUCCUACCUCCAGAUGCUUACCUCAGCCUUGUAAUUAGUAUGAGUAAAGAAAUCGACGCUUACCUUCUCAAGGCAUAAGCCGCAUAACAAGCCCUAUAUCCUUGACUUGAUAUGAAAGCAUCCUAGCCUGGGUCCUCCUGGGAAUAACGGAGUUGCUAUGCGUACCUCCAUAUUAUAUUAUCGACACCUACUGGCUACUGCUGUACUCCAUGUAACUUCUUGCUGUACUUAAUUAUAUGAGCUUCCUGAAUUAAUGUUGGAAUGAUAAAUCAAGCUUUAUGGUAGAAUCAAAUGAUUGCUCUAUCAUGGAAUAAAUUUCGCAAUAAAAAUAAAUAUUAGAGGAGAGUUAUGAAACGAAGCUUUUUUUUCUGCAUCAAAUUAACUUUUCAUACACUGUUUUUAAAACAAAUCAACAUACAAUGAUCUUAUGUUGUACCUUUUCCGUUGCAGAUUGCUUUUAAAAAUGUUCUCCCCACAGGCACUUCUAUGGUAUCUUUUCAAAAUUGCUAUUAUAUAUGUUUAAUUAACCAUUCAUUUUGGUCUAAAGCUAGGACGAACUUCUAAGACUGCCACGGAGACUCUGGAAAUCAACAGAUGAAGAAAAAAAUAAAAUAUAUCCAUGACUUCCAAGGUUUUGGAAGCAGAGGUCAUGAAUCAUUUCAAGAAGAUUCAAGUCAUCCAUGCAAGUAACAGCAAAGGAUAAGCGCAGCUAGGUGAAAUGGAGACUGGAUAUUGAGGGUCACUAUCUCAGAUUCUCAAGGCAUAGCAUUAAAAACAUAUCCUUUAAUUGGUAGUAUAAUCUCAAACUUGUAUGUAAAGACCAGACCGUGGAAGUGCAUAUAUGCAUUUUAUUCUUCAAUAAGCGCAGGCUUAGGGGGUAGUUCAAUAACCUCUGGGCUUAGUCAAUCCCGAGAAGAUAUUAAUAAAUUUCCCUGGAUUAUUCCUCUCAUGAAUAUCAGUGCCUGUAAUUUGGUUGUGUGCUAACGGGAGUUGCCUCUUGCGAUCGGUUGGGUUCUUUAAUAAACGCAUUAUUAGGUAUGAAUGAUCAGGAAAUUGAUAAGUAAAAAACAAUUUAAUUAUUUCACUUAAGUCAUAAACCAUUAUGAGGAGCCUUGGAAUAUAUGCAUGAGUCUAGAUUCUCGCAGCCACUAAUCACGUAGUCAAAAUUGGCCAGUCGCAAACAUUCCAAUCAUUCUUUAUGAUAAGAAAGAAGAGUUCACUCUUCUUUUUCUCGAGUUUUUUAUUUGGAGAGAGCAAUUUAUCAGCCUCACAUUUUGAGACCUUUCUUGGCACAUCACUUUCAGAAUCUGAUUUCCUAGCUCCACUAUAGAAGUAAAGCCAGUUGGGUAUCACAUUCUUGUUUUAUGUCUCCUUGAGUGGGUCGGGUGUAUAUAAAAAUUUGCCAGUUGAAGAUUUUCUUUGUUAUGCUAGUCUUUCUUUUUCUAACCUCCUGAUAUCAAAUGGGAAAAUGCCAUAUCGUUACUGGACAAUUGACCCAUAAUGGAGAGACUUUUGUUGGUUGGACUUGGGCUUUUAUAUAACUCAGCAACUAUCAUAAUUAUAGGAGAAAUUUGAAGUAACCAUAUUGAUUUGGGUCUACCAAGAAGCAAGGUGAAUCGUAACAUAUCAUGCAUAUAACUUGAUUCAAUUAUUUUAUAUUCUACUUGUUUCUUAUGUAUUUUUACUUUUAUCAAAUAGUUUAGAUAUCAUUACCAAAUAUUCUCCUGACAUUUUCCUAUUAUUUCUGUAAGAUGCUAUAAUCUACACCCAAAGUAGUGGACCACUUACACUUUAUUAUGUACUAACCACGAUCAUAACUUACAUUCUCCACCUUGGCCUCUCUCUUAUCCCAAAAAGUAAAGACUCAGGGUUCGUAUCCCUUCCCUUCUGUCUAUAUAGGUCUAAGAGUAGUCAAGUGUUUCCUUCAAUAGCCUUCAUAUUCUUGGCAGUAACUAGGUACUUGGUUUUCAAACACAACAAAAAUAAUGGCUCAAAUUGCCAAGAUGGAGGUCCAAGCAGAGAUCAAGUCCCCUGCCAGUAAGUUCCACGAGGUCUGUAGCCGUAAAGUUUAUCUCGUACCCAAGGCUUGCCCUGAAAAAAUUAAGAGCAUUGAAGUAGUUGAAGGUGACUGGAAGACUGUGGGCUCUGUCCAGCUUUGGACUUAUUUCAUCGGUAAGGCAAAAUCCAUCAUUCCACGCCUCCCCCAACAAACACAAGGACACAGAGCUCAAUUGUACUUCUAUUAUUAUUACUAUUAUUAGGAAAUAAUGAUAAUCUAAUGGUAAUGUGACUCUACUCAUGCCGAUAUAAACCCCGUAAUCUUGAUCUCAAAUUGCUAUCAAACAAAAGAAUAUCAAAUAAAGGUAAAGUGUGUCCCCUAUAUUUAUACGUAGAUAGAUGAGUUCUAAGCUUAGCACCAUGUUUUCCAUUUGAAAAACAGGAGGAAAUACCGAAGAGGCUAAGUUGGUGGUUGAAAGGGUAGACGAGGAAAACAAAACGGUCACUAUGAACGUUGUGGAAGGAGAUAUCGUGAAGUAUUUCAAGAUCUUCAAGUGCACUAUUCAAGUAACCGUAAAGGAUAAGGGCAGCUUGGUGACAUGGAGUGUGGAAUAUGAGAAGCUAAAUGAGAGUGGCCCCGCUCCAGAUGCUUACCUCAACUUUGCAAUGGGUAUCGUUGAGAACGUGGAUGCUUACCUUCUCAAGGCAUGACAACAAAGGCGUAUUCAUGAGUCAUGACAUGGUAUGAAGCACUGGUACAACAAAAACUUGGGAAUAAUGUACCACACGCCAUGUCCUCAACUUCUACUGGUCAUCGCUAUAAUAUUAAAAGUAACUUCUUAUUCUACUUAUAUACCUUCCAAGUACUUUGUGUCUUGAAUGUUAUUAUCUAAAAAUAAAAAUAGAAAAUCUCGAAGAAGAGCAUUGUCCUUCGACACUUUUCUUUCUUUCUUUCUUUCUUCACUGCUGAGAAUCUCAACGUACGACUACCAUUUGCAUUAUGGACCCAUGACUGCCAUCCUUUGACCACAUUUGUUGCCCUCCCACCAAACUCCUACGCGUCAAAAUUUCUAUUGUUGCUUGAACAAUAUUUUCAUUUGAAAAACAAGGAAACGAUUUAAAAAUUCUUAUCUCAUGUCUAGUUACCCCGGUCGACCAUAUAAAGUACCACUUGAUCACUCUAGUCUCCUUUGCUAGCCCAUGGGCAAUGCAAUACCCAGCAGGUCCCAGUAACCAACUCUAUGUUCCUCCGAAAAUGAAACAAAUCAGGUCGUUUCAGGGAUGCAUUUGAUCUCACCCUUUUGUUUUGUGUCCGUUAUUUUUUAUUUUAAUAUCACAUGUUUAUAUUUUAAUCUCAUUCUUUACACCUGGAUUUGCUGAUAAAGGCAACUUUCUUUUUGAGCUUUGAUCGAGAUUUUUAUGAAAUUCCUGUGAUAUUACCGUCCUGCUCCUGCUUAAGAAUGUAACUUUGAUUUUGCUUUUAGUGAAGUCUUUAGGUGUUGUUUAUUCCCCAAAAUCUUUUGAUGUUUCUGAAAUUGCUUCAGUGGACUUUGAGAGGUUGCAGGUACCUCUUUUCUCCUGAAAUAGAAUUUGUUUCAGUGGAGCAAGACAACAGGAUGAGCAAAAAAUAGAACCAAUUUUAUUGAUAUAUAUCAGGUUUUUGAGACGUUGAAGAACAUUUCUAACAACUUUUUUUGAUGGGUGACCAAGCCUAUUAUGCCACAAUGCAUAUACAGAACAAGAAGAAAAAGAAGCAGGUGUUGGAACUACAGAAGAAUUGUAUACUAAGGGUUGUGUUGACAUACUGACAUAUGACUUAUGAGGAGUUGAGGGAGAGAAGCUGCCACUGAUUAUUAAUGAGAUCAAUUUGAGACUGAUAAAAAACAUAAAGACCAUCUUUAGGCCUACCCCUCCAGUAGCACUGUUUUGAAGUGAAAUUCAAAGAAGACAUUCUUUUGGGCAAAUUUUGACACACUGAGAAGGUUCUAAUUAGCAAUUUCAGGGACAUGAAGUGUUUUAAAGAGUAAUUUCAGCAAACAUAACUUCAACUUUACAUCCACCUGACCUCAUUAUUUCAGUUUGACAAGAGGGCUUAAUUAUAUCAGUAUGACUGCUAAGAAGACUUUGGAAUAUUAUAAAACGAGUCCAUCAAGUUCAAGGUUUGGAAUGGAAAGAUCAUGAGUAAUUUCACUACUUUUAAGCUGAAUAUGAGAAGGUAAAUGAGGAUGUCCCAGACCCAAUGCUUACUAAAUCAUUGAAGGUCACCUUCUUGAGGCAUAAUUCCAAUUCUUUUCAUCGAUGCUUCUUAGAUGUUAUAAAACAAUACUAUGAAAAUGAAAACGUAAUGUAAUUUUGUCAAAGCCUUUUCCUUAUUGAAGACUCUGGACUGAUUGCGUGGGUGCGCAACACCCACCAUAAUUCCCACACCAACGCCCAACUAACCAAAUCACGUAAGGCCUCACAUGGCCUCAUUAUUAUUUCUGUUGAAAGAUAAUACUAUAUUACAUACGAGAUGGCCAUUCUACCAGCCACCUGUAAAGUUGGUGAUAAAUUGAUACUAAAAAUAGAAGGAAAAUUAAGUUGAAAUUAAGGGUGUCUAUUUAAAUUUAAUUAUUCCCUAGAUAUGAUCUUUUGAUAUGAUUUGAACCCGUUAAUCAUUUAUUUUUAUAUAAAGAGACAAAAAUUCAAUUGUAUAAUCCAGGAUGAGUCACUUGGCCGGGUUUUCGACGACAGCUAAAUCAACCUUCAUUUAGUAAUGAUUGCCCAUGAAAUAAAUUAUCAUGUCUCCUCACAAUAUAAUAAACUAAUAAAAAAUAAAAGAAGAUCACAAAGAAAAGCAUCUUAGUGGAAGUUUUUUUUUUUUUUUUUUUCUUUCAUUUGUUGGUGGUGACACUCCGUGAAAUGUGAUCAACUAGCAUUUGAAUUACACAACCUAAUGCAAAUGAUAAAAAGCAUAAAUUACUUUAGAGUGUUUAGAAUUUGGAAGACUCUAGCUAGGAUGAUAUGGCAUGGGUCUGUGGCCGACAACCACCAAACCCAACGCUAAAUAAUUAUUAUUGAACCAUCAUCAUCAGUAUAAGCAACAUCAAACCUCUCCAUGUUAAACUGUACAUUUUAUUUCAUCCGGAUCUAAUAUCUAAUUAUAAAUGAUUAUGUAUGAGAUUGCAAUCCUUUGCUUAACUCUUUGAAAAUCUAAUUAUAAAUAUUUGGAAUAUCGAUUUCAUCUCUACCAUUAAAAGCAUAUGAAAAAAAUAUCUUGGUCUUUGAAUAAAAGUAAGUAUAAAUAAUUAGACUAGGGUACCAAAUGAUGAAAUCAAAUAUAAAUGAAUUAUAACCAUCAAAUUUCUAUUUUUCAUUAUUAAAUCAUUGGGCGCUCCAAUUUUUACAUGAUGUAUAACUAUUGACGGAAAUGUUAAUUAGGGAUGGCAACGGGGCUGGUUUUUUCGGGUACCCGCCCCCCCCUCCCCCCCCCCCGCCCCUAAUGGGACGGGGUUGAAAUUUAAUAAACGGGUUUUUAACGGGUAUGAGAUUUUUUUUUAAAACCAGGGGCGGGUUCGGGACGGGUUCGGGACGAGUUCGGGUAUUGCCCCAUUCCGCCCCGCCCCGCCCUGUUUACAUAUAAAAUCAAUUUUAAAAUUAAUUUUAUUUUACUAUUUUUAAUAUAUAGAUAAUAAUAAAAAAAUUAAUAAAAUAAGUUAUAAAAAAUAUAAUAAUUUUAUUAUUUAUAAAUAUAUUUAUUUUAAUGUAAUUAAAAAUUUUAAAAGUAAAUUUUUUUUUUUAUAAAAAAAAGGAGGCUAAACGGGGCGGGACGGGGAUGAGAAUUAUUUUUAAUAAACGGGGCGGGGUUGGGAUGGGGGCAACCCGUCCCGAACCCGCCCUGUUGUCAUUCCUAAUGUUAAUAUAAGGAUAUAAUAAUGGGUAAAAUUAGUUGAAAGUGUUUUUUUUAUGACAUAAAAUAAUUUUUCAAAUUUUAAUUUCUAUUUACUUUGUCUUCCCUUGUCAUGUAUCUUUGUAAUUUUCCGAUUUGUUUAUCAAAACAAUAAAUGAUGUCAUGUUAUGAUUUCUCUUUUUGUCUUCCUUUUUAAUUGACGUGUUUAUUGGAAUAAUAUAUUAUGUUAGACAAAAUAACACAUACCUCCACUGCCCAAAUCCCCUCCGUGACAAUGAACCCCAUCUUUAAGCAUUAUUAUAAAAUUAAGCAUAAAGUUAUUACAAGUUUCUUCCAUUUCACAUGCCUUUCCCAUAGAUUGAGUGGUGGAGAUGAUCAUUCUUGAACGAUUUAUAAUUUUAAUGAAUUCUGUCUAUUCUCAUAUCUUUUAAGAGGGAAUUCAAAUCAACUUAUCUUAUUUUCUCAACGCUACUUAACUUCCACGGCUUCAAAUUUACAUGAUCAUAUCAUUAUCAAUAACUUCGGCAUAACUAUUCAAAUUUUAAUAAGAACUUCAAAUCAUUGUUACCUUUAUUGCCUUAAAAAUCUUUUUCUUUGUCAAUGAUCCCUGCACGAUUAUUAAAUAAUAGGAUUGUUAUUGUCAUAUUAACUAAUUUUGAUAAUAUAGUCAUCGUCACGGCUGAGUGCCGUUUUCUUGGGAGAUUUUUCAUAAAUUUAAAUCAAUACCAGUUAUAGGAAAUGCGUCACAAAUUAGGAAGAUAUCGAGCUGGAAGCAGAUGAUAUAUAAUUCAUUAUUUUCUUCCUUAUUGAAGCUUGACAAACCAAUCCAAAUGCAUUAACGUGAGAAGCAAGGUUUUAUGCUCAUUUUCAAUGAACCUUGUCAACAUGCACGUCAAAAACAAUGAUUUAUUAACUACGUACAUGUAGAACUGCAUGGGAAAAAAAAAAUACAAUUAAGGCAUUGGGAUAUGAAUAAAACGCUUAACUUAAAAUUCAAAAUUCUCAAAACUACGUUUUUCACACCAAAAUGUUUCAUCCAGCCAACCUAAGACCGAGUGAAUCCUCCCUCUAAAGCACAUUGCCCAAGACUACAGGCAACGUAGUAAUUACCUAAGCAAAUACGUCAGAAUCAUACCAAUUUUUACCAAAGUGGGUAUCGGGAAGGAGCUUUGCCUAAUUCAUCCUUCUAUAUAUAAGGACAAGGUUAUCUACUUCUUCUCAUCACUGCCUUCUGUUUGAAUAUUUUGUAGUUAGUUUUAUCAAUCCAGCUAGUGUUAUUAUCAGAAAAACAUGGCUCUAACUGGUAAGUUGGAGACUGAAACAGAGAUCAAAGCACCUGCUGAUAAGUUCUUUAAAAUCUUCAGGAGCCAAGCACACCACCUUCCUAAUAUCUGCUCCGAUAAAAUACACAAAAUCGAGGUACAUGAAGGUGACUGGGAGACUCAGGGCUCCGUCAAGCAUUGGAGUUUGACCGUUGGUAAGGCAUCUCAAACUAAGAACCACAAAACACUAGCGUUAUAUUCUGUUAAUUAAAAUAAGUUAUUAUGUUUUUGUUUCAUUUCAUUGUUGUUUUCUUCACCUUUCAAUUAUUCUAUUAGAAUAAAAGCAUGCCUCUUUGUACAAUUUUUUUCUUGCAAAGAAGUGAUCGAGUCUGGGCCGCUAGUGACUAUGAUGGUUCUUAGGAAUGUACAUGACAUCUAAUAAUAGCUUCAACAUAUUCCAAUUAUGUUUAACCUCACAUUUUGGUUUCAACUAGGAGAGAAUUCUGAGAGUAUUAAAGAGACUGUGGAUCAAAUAGAUGAAGAAAACAGGUCCAUCACAUUCAAGGUUUUGGAUGGGGAGGUGCUGAAAGACUACAAGAGCUACAAGUUCACCACACAAGCGAUACCAAAGGGGGAGGGCUGCUUGGUGAUAUGGACCAUCGAAUAUGAGAAGGCAAGUGAGGGUGGCCCAGAUCCCCAUAACUGCCUAGAGUUUUCAGUUAAUAUCACCAAAGAUAUCGAAAGUCACCUUCUCAAUGCGUAACACCAAGGCCAUAUCCACCCUUUGCUAGUAUCUUGCUCGUAAAUAAAGUUUGGAACUUGGAAGUCCAUCUAUCUCUAUCUUUCAAUAAACGCAAAUUCCAGGUGUGGACUUGGUGAUUAGUGCCGAGAAGAUAAACUAGGUUUGCCUUGGUUAUUUGUGCAAUAAUAUUAGUGCAUGAGUGGGAUUGAUUGUAUGCUAUCUUGUCCGGGAGUUGCUUUGUGUCUUUUGUAAUGGGAUUACUACAUGUAAUGUGAAGACUAUAUGAUGCAUGGGGAAAUAAAUUAAGCGAAAACUUCCAUGGGCUCCAUCAUGAGGAGCCUUUGAGUAAGUCCACAAGCCUACAUUCUUGCAUUCUAGUCACAUGUGUCAAAAUAAGUCUCUACAAAUUAAAGUCUUAUUGUCAAAAUCCCACUUUACACAUAAUCUAAAUAAUUUAGCUAAAAUCUAAUAAGUAUGUCUCUCUUUAUAUGUACUUACCAUCCCAACUUUUAAAUUUAGGGAUAUCUAUGUAAUUUAGAUUUUAAAAAGAAAAUUUUAGGGAUAUUUACAAAGAUAAAUGAAAUAUUUUUGGUUCCGAUAACCAUUAUUUUUAUCUCAUUUUGGUUUCUUUGCGUUAUAAAAAAAAUGGUUUGUAGAGAUAAACUAGAGAAAAAAAAAAAUUAUACAAUGGUUUGUAGAGAAAUUUGAUUCGAAAAGUUAGAAAAGAUGAUUUGUUUUUUGCAUUUGCUUCAUUCUAAAAUUCAAUCACUAUCUUUUAUCUCAUUUUGGUUUCCCCACAUUAUCAAAAAAUGAAGGAUAAAAAUAAACUGGGGAAAAAAUUAUACAAAGGUCUCCGAGAACUUUGAUUUGAAGAGUUAGAAAAGAAGAAUUUUUUUGCAUUUGUUUCAUUUUAAAAUUCAAGGUUUUUGGAUUUCUAUUAUAUAUUAAUUAUGAGGAUAGUAGAAUAAUAAUAAUAAUAAACAAAAACUAGUUAUUAGUGACCUUGAUCAAUAGAGUAUAAGUUGUUGACCUUUAUUAUCUUUGUUAGAAGUAGUUAACGAUGCAAUGUAACCUUAGCCAAUAAAGAUGUUUUGAUAUACAUUGAUUGAAAAAUGUCCUUUUAAAACUAGUUAUUAUUGACCUUGGUCAACACAGAGGAUAAGUUGUUGACCUUUAUUACCCUUGUUAGGAGUAGUGAACGGUGUAGUAUAACCUUAGUCAUUAAGGAUGUUAUUAGCCUUUUGCUAUAUCAUUGAUUGAAAGUUGUCCUAUCCACCAAUAAGGAGAAUGAAGGCUAGCCACCAAGUACUAGUUUUAGUAUUUUGGCACAAUAUUAUUACUAGUGAGUCAAAGUGAAAUAUUUGUUGAUAAAACUUUUUUAAUAUGAAUUGAGUAAGCAAAAUAUAUUAUUUAAUUCUAUCAUUAAAUUGGAAGUGUUUAAAUUUUCAAAAACAAUUAUUUUAAUUAUUGAAUCAAAUGAGCUUACAUGUUAAUAGACUUUUAUAAAGAUGUGGUAUCUUCCGAAAUUUUAUUAUAUAUAAUAAUUGAUCUUCCUUAUACUAACUUUUAUCAUUGAGCCAUCGAGUUCACUUUUCUCUGUUAUUCUCCAUUUCAAUUAUAAAUGAUAUAAAGAGGGAUGAGGUAAGAAAAAUAUUUCUAUUAGAGACAGCUUUGGAAUUGAUUUAUUUUAGGAUUAUUUACUAGACUGAAUUCAUUUAUAAUUUCUAAAUUUCUUUUUGAAGAAUUUGAGAAAAUUAAAUUAAUUAUUGAGAGAUUUUAAUUAGUUUUAAAUUUGUUACUUAAAGUCGUUCACAUGUUGGAUUCUAAUAUUUGAUACGUGAAACUAGCAUGAAGGGCUUGACCUCCGGGUUUGGGGCGUCGCAGCUGACUUUAGAUUACAGAAUUAUUAAUCAACCUACCAAUCUUCAAAGCAAUCUAGGAUGCAAUAUGGUUUUGUGAUUUAAGAUCAAGUGGACGCUUCAUUUAUUAUGUCUUCAAAAAAACAUUUUGGGCCUCAAUUCGAGAUUAUCAGAUAUGGAUUCUAACAGUUGCUUCCAAUCAAAUCAGUGUCACAGAAAUCGCUACCAUUGUGGUACCUGAAAAAAAAAAAAAGAGACUCCUUCCCUUAAUAUUGAAAUUUAUCUGAAGCUAUGCAGUAAAUAAAUGCCCCAUUUUGUGCGUCAUAAUGGGGGAUCACAUUCAGAAUCUUCUGCACAUGCAAAUUAAAAUCAAAAUCAAGCCAUUGGCCUAUCACAUUACCAUUUUUGGCCCUUUUGUUUUGUUGUUUUUUUCUUUUUUUGGCGUGUAUAUAAAAAGCAACCACAUUAUCCAACUUUUAUUGAAAACACCAUAUUAUCAGAUACAAAAACGCCACAUCAUUAUUAUUGAAAAUUAAAUUCCCAUAUAUAGAAAGCCACAUAAAAUUCAGUGCCAAUCACAAACAUUCGUUGAUAUUCACUAGGAUAGAGAUAGAGUGCCCAUAUAUGGACAGUGCACCAUACCCGCCGUGAAGUGAUUGGAAGAGUGUGGACUAUGUCAAGCUCCGGACUUAUUUGUAUAGGUAAGGCAACGCUAACCAUUAUUAUUCCCAUGCCACCCUCAAUCAAGCACAGUCAUACACUCGGCACAUGGCACUUCUUGUUUUUAAUUAUUAUCAUAGUGAACAAUGUUUUCAUAAUCGGAUCGAUCAUCGAACCGAAAAAGUUAUCGAUUUACAGUCCAUUAGUCGAACCGACGGUCGAACCAAUAACAUCAUAAAUAUGUAAUUUAUAUAUUAUUAAAAUUAAAAAUAAUUAUACAAAUUUUAAAAUAUAUAUGAAUAAAUUAAAAAUCAAUAAUAUUAUUUUGUAUCUUUAAUAUUAUCAAAUUAAAUCAUAUUAAUAUUUUAAAUUUUAUUGAAUGAAAUAUAUAUAAUAUUUAAAUAUGAAUAUAUUAAAAAUGAAAAUUUAAUUAAACUAAUUUUAUAAUUUUUAAAAAUAUUAUAUUAUUUUUAUUUAAUAUUAUAAAAAAAUUUAAAAUCCAAUAUAUAUUAUUUUGUUUGGCAUAUUAAAUAAUAAAAGAUGUAUAGCCGAGUGGUCCUAGGUUGGUUAUAGACCUUGAGGUCCAAGUUCAAAUCCUUUGGUGGAUUUGUUAAUUUUUUUUUUCAUUGAUUAGGUUAGUUAGCAAUCCCACACUAAGAGGAAUAAGGAUGCUUAUAAAAGCUAGCCUCAUUAUGGGCAAAGGCAUCACCUCAUCUGGUGGGCUUAAGACUCAGCCCAUAAAAUGGUUGGGUGCGGUGUGGGCUUUGUCACAUUAAGACAGGGCCCAUCAUGGGCUUUUGCUAAAUUUUUUUAUACAAGGGAGCCUUCCAUGCUUGCAAAAUGGUGGGAUAACUUGAACCGAUCGAUUCGCUCAAAACCGUCUGAUUUCGUUGGGUUAUCGAUUCAAUCAUCGAUUUAGGUGAUUUGUGACCGGUCCAAUGCUUAGACGGUUUAAUAAAGUAAAUCUAAUAAAAAAUGUGAUGGAUCGACGAUUGAACCAGUUGGAUCAGUCGGUCCCACCCGAUUUUUAAAACAUUAGAUAAUAACAAAUUAAAAGAAGGGUGUCUCCUCAUAUGAGUUUUUUUGAAGUUCUCUACUCUUGGAGUGACUGAAAGGAUAACUGCAGCCUGGUGAGAUGGACUUUGGAAUAUGAGAAGUCAAAUCAGAGGCUCCUUCCUCCAGAUGCUUACCUCAGCCUUGUAAGCAUGAGUAAAGAUAUGGAUGGUUUACCUUCUCAAGGCAUAAACCGCAUAACAGCAAGGCCUAUAUCCUUGACUUGGUCUGAAAGCAUCCUAGCUUGGGUCCUUCUGGGAAUGGGAUUGCCACACGUAUGACCUCUGUAUCAUCAGUUUUGGGGCAAAAUAGCCAUUUUAUGUAUAAAAAAAAAUAAGCUUUAGCCCUUUACAAAACUUAUGUUUAAACUAGCUCACAUAGAGUCAUGUCAUCAUUUUUCUUUUAAACUCAAUUAGACUUUAUUUUUUAACUGAAACUUCAAUUACCAAUUGAGAAUUCAUUUUUUAACUAAAACUUCAAUUUACAAUUGAGGUUUUAGUUAACUUUGUUUUAAAUUUAAAUAAAAAAUUAAAUUAUAAAUUAUUAUUGAAAUUUAAAAAAUAUAUUUUAAUAAUAAUAAUUUAUAUAUUUAAACUUAAAUAUCUAAUAUUACUUCAAUAAAGAUAAAUUGACAAAUAUAAUAAUAAAUAAAUAUUUUAUUUAUCAAUAAAUUAAUAAUUUUAAAAUAAUAAAGUUAUAUGAAAUCUAAAUAAGAUAUAAAAUUAUAUAAUUUGUUAAUUUAAGAUAUUUAAUUUUUUGUAUUUUUAAGAUAUUAAUUUAUUUGUAUUUUGACAAAUUUAUCUUUAUUAAAAUAAUAAUAUAUUCUUAAGUUUCAUAUAUAGAUUUUUUUAUUAUUUUAAAGCAUAUAUUUAUAGUUUACGUAAAAAAAUACUAUUAUUUGUACAUACAAUAUAUAUGCCUUGAAGAUACAUUUUGAAAUUAGUUAAUAAAAUUAAUUAGAAAAAAGUCUACUAUAAAAUUUAAUUUUUAAUAGUUUCAUCAAAGUCACAAAAAAUACUCAUUAAAUAUUUAUAUUAUGGAAAAAAAAUGCCCCUCCCUAAUAUUACAUGUGAUAUAACUUAAAUUAAUAAAUUGUAUAAUUUUAUAUUUUAUUUAUAUGUCAUAUAAUUUUAUUAUUUUAAGAUUAUUAAUUAAUUGAUAAAUAAAAUAUUUAUUUAUUAUAUUUAUCAAAUUAUCUUUAUUGAAGCAAUAUUAGAUCUUUAAGUUUAAAUAUAAAAUUUUUUAUUAUUAAAGUAUAAUUUUUUAAUUUCAAUAAUAAUUUAAAAUUUAAUAUUUUUAAUUAAAUUUUAAAGUAAAAAAAUAAAAUAACUGAAGUUUCAAUUGACAUAUCUUAUUUAGAUUUCAUAUAAUAUUAUUAUUUUAAGAUUAUUAAUUUAUUUAUAAAUAAAAUAUUUGUUUGUUAUUAUAUUUAUUAAUUUAUUUUUAUUGAAGUAAUAUUAGAUCUUUAAGUUUAAAUAUAUAAAUUAUUAUUAUUAAAAUAUAUAUUUUUUAUUUCAAUAAUAAUUUAUAAUUUAUUUUUUAAUUAAAUUUUAAAAUAAAAUAAAAAUUUUAACUAAAACCUCAAUUGUCAAUUGAGGCUUUAGUUAAAAAAUAAGUUUCGAUUGACAAAUGAUACUUCAAUUAAAAAAUGAAGUCUUAGUUGGUAAUUGAGACUUCAACUUAAAUUUUAAAAAAAAAAAAUUAUGACAUAACUCCUAUAUGUGAUAAUAAAGGAACUAGUUUAAACAUAAGUUUUAUAAAAGGGUUAAAACUUAUAUUUUUUUCUACAUAAAAAACUAUUUUGCCCUAAAACUCCCGUAUCGUCGACUAGCUACUGCUUUACUCCAUGUAACAUCUUGUCUACUUAAUUAUAUGAACUUCCUGAAUUAAUGCUGGAAUGACAAACCAAGUUUUAUUGAAAAUGGAAACCUUCUUAGAAUCAAACAUUUGCUCGAACAAAUUUCGCAAUAAAAAGAGGAGAGUUGUGAAAAGAAGCAUUUUUCCUGCAGCCAAUUACCUUUUCAUACAUUACUUUAAAACAAAUUAACAAAUAGUGAUCUCAUAUUUUACCUUUUCUGUUGCAGAUUACUUUUAAAAAUAUUCUCUCCACAGGCACUCCUACGGAAUCUUUCUCCAAAUCAAACUGUACAUUUUACUCAAAUUUUAAUAUCUAAUUAUAAAUAAUUAUGGGUGAGAUUGCAAUCCUUUGCUUAGCUCUUUGAAAAUCUAUGAUGAUACUCGGUAUUAAUAUUUUAUUUUAUUAAAGAUAAAAAUAUCAAAAUAAUUUUAGAACUUUUUAGUGGGGAUAAUACUUCCCCAUUAGGCUGCUUACAAGGCAUAAAUUAAUAUUUUUUUAAUUUUAAUAAAAGCAAUUUGGUACAGUUGACUUGAUUGAUAACUAUUUAAGAUAGGAUUUAGACUAAUUUAGAUUAAUUAGAUUGCAUUUACAGUUCCGUUACCUCGAAACAAAGUUGGUGCAACAUUAACCAUGAUUAUGGUGAUAUAUUUUAGUUUUAUAUUUUUUAAGGGGAUAAUUUUUUUUUUUAAUGGUUUGAUGUUAGCUUAUAAGAAAAACCUAAACCAUAAAAGCCGAAUCUUUCCAAUAUUGAUCCAAUUUCUAUCAUUAAAAAUAUAUGAAUAAAACUUUUGAUCCUUAAAUAAAAGUAUACAAACUAUCGUACAAAAUAAUGGAAUCAAAUAUACAAAAUAAGAUUAAGGAAAUGUUUGAUAAAACUUAAUAUUUAUUAUUUAAUAAUUUAAAUUAACUCUAAGUUAAAUUAUAUUUAAGUUGUUGACUUAAAACUUAUUAUUUAAUUUUUAUUUUAAGUAUUAAGGUUAUUUAAAAAAAUUAACUUACAAUUUAUAUUAAAUCAUCAAAUUAAAAUAUUUAUCUUAAUAAAUUAUAACUAAGACAAAUAAGGUUAAAUAACAAUGGAGGUUGUGAAGUCAUAAAAGAGAUCAUAAAUGUAAUUGAGAGAAAAAAAGACAAAAAUAUAAAAUGAAGAUACUGACUUAAAAAUAAAUAAAUUUUUUUAUUUAUUAAGUCUUUUAUUUUAAGUCAUACAAUAAAAUUAUUUUAUCAAACAUAUUUAAUUUAUUUAAUAAUAUAAUUAAAAUAUUAAGUCACUUAAAGUUAUUAAAUUGGUUUACCAAACACGUACUAACGUACAAAUAAAUAAGACUAAAAUAGAAAACAAUGAAACUUAAACACAUAUAUGACAUGGUCUAUUUAAUUGUAUUUUUUUAUAAAUGCCUCUUUAAUACUUCCCAAAUCAUAACAUUAAAUUUCUUAAAUUGAUAUAAAACAUUUUUUUUUUUCUANNNNNNNNNNNNNNNNNNNNNNNNNNNNNNNNNNNNNNNNNNNNNNNNNNNNNNNNNNNNNNNNNNNNNNNNNNNNNNNNNNNNNNNNNNNNNNNNNNNNACAUAUAUGACAUGGUCUAUUUAAUUGUAUUUUUUAUAAAUGCUCUUUAAUACUUCCAAAUCAUAACAUUAAAUUUCUUAAAAUUGAAUUAUAAACAUUUUUUUUUUCUAUGAUUGAAUCAUUUAGCACUCCAAGUUUUACUAUUGGACGAAAUGUUAAGGAUCUAAUAAAUGGGUAACAUUAAUUUGCUGAAAUAGUUUUUCUUAUUACUUAUAAUGGUUUUAAGAAUGUUGAAAAAAAAAUUCAUGGGAAAACAUUUAUCAAACUCAAAUUUUGAUUCCUAUUUACUUUAUCUUUCCUUGUCAUGUCUCUUUCUAAUUUUCCUUUUUUAGCGGUUUGUUUAUUAGAACAGUAUAUCAUGCCUGUGAUUCUCUUUCUAUCACUUCUUUUCAAUUGAUUUGUUUAAUGCAAUAAUAUUUGUUUAAUGCAAUAAUAUAUCAUGUUAGACAAAAUAACACCUACCUACUACCCAAAUCCCCAAUGUGACAAUGAACUCUAUCUUUAAGCAUUAUUAUAAAAUUAAACGUAAAGGAUAUUAUAAGUUUCUUCCAUUCCACGUGCCUUUCCCAUAUAUUGAAAGGUGGAGGUUAUCAUUUUUAAAAGAUCAAUAAUUGUAAUGAAUUUUCCAUUCCACGUGCCUUUCCCAUAGAUUGAAAGGUGGAGGUGAUCAUUUUUAAAAGAUCAAUAAUUUUAAUGAAUUUCAUAUAUUUGCAUAUUUUUUAAGAGGGAAUUCAAAUUAACUCAUCUUAUUUCUCAAUGUUACGUAACUCCUGCCUCAAAUUAAAAUCAUCAUAUCAUUAUGAACAACUUUGAUACAACUAUUCAAUUUUUAAUAUGAAUUCUUUCAUUCUCAAAUCAUUGUUCAAGUUAGCUUUAUUAACUUAAAAAAACUCAUUCUUUGUCACUACUCCCUCUAUGAUUAUUAAAUGAUAAAAUUGUCAUUGUCUUAAAAACUAAUUUUGAUAAUAUAUUCAUCAACAUAUUUACAAAUUUAAAUUAAUACAAGUUGUAAGAAAUGUAUCAUAAAGAAGAUACAAAACUAGAAGUAGAUGAUAAUUAAUUAUUUUUUUUCUUUAUUGAACUUUGACACCCCAUCCAAAUGCAUUAACGAGAAAAAUAGUGUUUUAUGCUUGUUUUCAAUUAAUCUUGUCAAUAUGUACAUGAAAAACAAUGAUUUAUGCUUAUAAAUCUUAUCAAUUCGCUUAUUUGUAUAUGUAAAAUGAAAUUAUUGAAACUACACGUAGAAUUGCAUGAGGAAAAAAAUACAACUACUGCAUUUAUAAAUGAAUAAAAGCUUGGCUUAAAAUUCAAAAUUCUCAAAACUAUGUUUUCCACACCAAAAUAUUUCAUCCAGCCAACCAAACACCGAUUGAAUCCUCCCUCUAAAGCAUAUUGCCCAAGAUUACAGGCAACGUAGUAAUUACCUAGGCAAGUACGUCAGAAUUAUAGCUUCUUUUUUUUUUUUGUUUUUUUUCAGUUCAUUGACUCGGCUCCACCCAACCACUAUCAGUAUCAGUUACUACCAGAGAGGGUACUGGGUACUGGUUACUGGGCAGGAGCUUUUCCAAAUUCACAACCCGUCUUCUUUAUAUAAGGGCAAGUUUAUGUAUUUCCUCUCGCCAUUGCCUUUUGUUCGAAUCAUUUGAAGUUGAUUUUAUUAAUCCAUCAGAAAAACAUGGCUCUAACUGGUAAAUUGGAGAUUGAAACAGAGAUCAAAGCACCUGCUGAUAAGUUCUUUAAAAUCUUCAGGAGCCAAGCACACCACCUUCCUAAUAUCUGCUCCGAUAAAAUACACAAAAUCGAGGUACAUGAAGGUGACUGGGAGACUCAGGGCUCUGUCAAGCAUUGGAGUUACACCAUUGGUAGGAUAUGCAACUCGAACUCAGAACCCCAAAACACUAGCUAGCAUUAUAUUCCGUUAAAAUGUUUUUUGAUUUUUUUUCCCCAUUUCAUUGUUGUUUUCUUCACAUUUUUUUAUUCUUUUAGAAUAAAUGCAUGGCUCUUUGUACAAUUUUUCUUUUUUUCUUGCAAAGAAGUGGUCAAGUCUGGGCCGCCAGUGACUAUGAUCGAUGGUUCUUAGUAAUGUAUAUGGCAUCUAAUAUUAGCUUCAACAUAUUCCAAUUACUAGGAGGGAAUUCUAAGAGCAUUAAGGAGAGUGUGGAAUCAAUAGAUGAAGAGAACAGGUCCAUUACGUUCAAGGUUUCGGAUGGAGAGGUGCUGAACGACUACAAGAGCUACAAGUUCACCACACAAGCAAUACCAAAGGGAGAGGGCUGCUUGGUGAAAUGGACCAUUGAAUAUGAGAAGGCAAGUGAGGAUGGGCCAGAUCCCCAUGACUACCUGGAGUUUGCAGUUACUGUCACCAAAGAUAUCGAAAGUCACCUUCUCAAUGCAUAACACCAAGUCCAUACAUACCGUCUGCUAGUAUCUCUAUUAAAUAAAGUUUGGAACUUGGAAGGGCAUCUACGAUCUCUAUCCUUCAAUAUAUGCGAAGGCUUAGGGGAACUUUUAGCAGCUGUGGCUUGGUGAUUAAUGCUGAGAAGAUAAACUAGGUUUCCCUUAAUUAUUUGUGUAAUAAUGUUAGUGCAUGCGUGUAAUCGGUUGUAUGCUUGUCUGGACUCUAGGGGUUGCUUUGUGAUUGUUAAUUGGUGUCUUUUGUAAUGGGAUUACUACAUGUUAUGUGAAGACUAUAUGAUGUAUAAGGAAAUAAAGUGAAAAUUACCAGGGGCUAACUCCAUCAUGAGGAGCCUCUGAGUAUGUCCACAAGUCUACAUUCUUGCAUUCUAGUCACAUGUGUCAAAAUCAGACCCUAACAAAUUACAGUCUUGAUCAUUGAAGGGGUAAAAUCCCACUUUACAUAUAAUCUAAAUAAUUUAGCUAAAAUCUAAUAAGAAUAUCUCUCUCUACAGGUAUGUAACCUUCCAACCUUGAAUUUAAGGAUAUUUAUAUAAUUUAAAAUUAUAAAAAGAAAAUUUUGGAUAUAGGACAAAUUAAUUUUUUUUUUAAAAAAUAACGAAAGUGAAUGAAAUAUUUUUGGUUCCUAUGACCACCCACUUUUUUUACUUUUUAUUUUUAUCUCAUUUUAGUUUCUCCACGUUAUAAAAAAAUGAAAAGAUAAAAUAGAGAGGAAAAAAGACAACUUGGAUUUGUAGAAGUUUCUUUCUUUCAUGGUGUUUUUCUGUUCUGUUUUUGCCUUUGUUUCAUUCUAAAAGUCACUCACUAUCUUUAUCUCAUUUGGGUUUCCCCGCGUUAUCAAAAAAUGAAAAUAUAAAACAAAGAGGAAAAAAAAACCUAUACAAAGGUCUUUGGAAUUUUGAUUCAAAGACUUAAGAAAAGAAUAAUAAAUUUUUGCAUUUGUUCCGUUCUAAAAUUCAAGGUAAGUUUUUCACAUAUAAUUUUUUUUUAGGAAUUCUAUUAUCUAUUAAUUAUGAGAAUAGUAAAUAUAUAUAAUAAUAAUAAUAAUAAUAAUCAUCAUCAUCAUCAUCAUCAUCGUCAUCAUCAUUAUCAUUUUAAAACUAGUUAUUAGUGAUCCUAAUCAAUCGAGAACAAGUUGAUUUUCAUUACCCUUGGUAAUGGUAGUGAUAAAAUAUAUUUUUAGUUAAUAAGGGUGUAAUUAGCUUUGGGGUUUCAUUGAUUAGAAAUUAUUUCAUCUACUAGUAAAAAAAACAAAGUAAAACUAACCAUCAAGUGCAAAUCAUGAAUUUUUUUAAAUAUGAAUUGAGUAUACAAAGUAUAUUAUUUAAUUAUAUAUUUAAAUUGAAAGAGAUUAAUUUUUCAAAAAUAGUGAAUUUAAUCAUUGAAUCAAAUCAACUUACCUGUUAUAAAGAUGUGAUAUGUUCCAAAAUUUAGUUGUAUACAAUACGUGACCCUUCUUAUUAAACUAUCCUUUAUCAUUGAGCUAUCUAACUUACCUUUCUCAAUUAUUAUCCUUUAAGGUACAUCAAAUAUUGGUAUAAAUGAGAAGAGAUCGAGAUAUGAAAAGUAUUUCAAAUAGAAACAUCUUUAGAAUAGAUUUAUUUUUUAGGAUUGUUUACUUAGAUCAAGUUUAUUUUAAUUUCUAAAAUGUUUUUUUAAGUGUUUGAGAGAAUUAAAGUUAUUAUUUAGAUAUUUUAAUUAGUUUUGGAUUUGUUUGUUAAGGUCAUUCAUACAAAGAUGAUAUCCAUUUCUGUGUUAUAUUUUAUUUUAUUUAUUUAUUUCUUAUUUCAUGUAUUAAGUUUGAUAAAACUGAAGGUGAAAUCAACAUUGAAUUGCUAAAAAUGUCAAUUACUAUUGUUAAUUUAUCACAAUUAUGAUUUUUUAAUUGUAGCACAUAGUAAAAUUAUUAUUAUUAUUAUUAUUAAUAUUUAUACUCUGGUCGAACUUAUCCAUGGCCAAUCCAUCAUGUAGGCCAAUUUUGUCAAACUUAUCCAUGGCCCAUCCAUCAUGUAGGCCAAAUUUUUAUUAGCAUUUUUGGGUCAUAACUCUAGAUGCUGACAUUAAAGCAUUUCUGGCAUAAUAAUUAUUGGAAAAGGAUGUCUCCUCUUUCAUGGAUCACAACCAAUACAGCAAAGAUGAUGAUAGAUAGCAUCCUUAUCACCUCAUGUGUCUUGACCUCUUCUUCAAGCUUGAGUGUCUUGUCCUAUAUUUAACGCAUGUACCAUUGCCUCCAAGAUAUGGUGACAGGAAUUAUAUAGCUACUGACUAGCUAGUCUUCACUCCAAAAAUAUGAUGGCCACUUUUUUGAAAUAUAACUCUUUAUCCUAUUGACUUAAACUCACCACCUCUUUCAGAUCCUCCACAAGGAUCAACUUAUUAAGAGUUUGGUCGAAGUUUGAUCCACUUUUCUAAAUGAGCAAUGUUAAAUUAUUUUAUUCAAACAAAUUUGAUGAUCAAAUAUCUCUUAUUUUCUCAAAUUUAAAUAACAUUCCUUUAUAAAAAUAAUUAUAAAAUUUAUUAUAAUCACUCAUUUUCAAUGGCUCAUUAGUAGAUGUUCAUUGUAUUAAAAUACAUUUAUAUGAUUAAGAAAAACUUAUACAUUUCUAUUUUUUUUUUCUAUGCAUAAUUUAUAAUAUCUCAUAUAGGAUUUAUUGGGUUUAGAAACAUGUAAUAUUUAUAUAAUAGUGAGUGAAUUAUUAUAAAUGGUAUGAAAAUUGAUUUUCAACCCUUUAUGAGAAUUUAUUUAAUACUACAAUAUAUGACUCUAUGUUUGAUUAUGUAAUCCUAUAAGACACGAUGUCCAUUAAGUUCAUUAUAUUAUUUUUAAUUAUGUAAAAAUAUUUUAAAAUUAAAAAAAUUCAUUAAACUUAGUGCAGACGCUAUCUAUAUAAAAGGAAAUAAAUGGUUAUACUUCAUCAUAUUCGUUUCUCAUAUUUGAUAUAUAUCAAUUUCAGCGACUAUUAUUCAACAUUGCCCGAAGCAAUAGGUGCCUCACUUUUACAAAGAAAACUUCCUCUAUUGAUAUUUCUCAAAUAUAAAUUCAUGUCAUGGACUCAUGGUUAACAACCGAUAGAUCCUAAAACAAUUAGAUAUCUCAGAUAUUGAUUGACCAAAUGGACAACCGAUGCUAUAGUAAGAGCUGUUGCUGUUAUCUUUUAAUUUAAAUAUACACAAACGACAAAAUGCUUAACUAAUCCACCACCCAGGCGCCGGGCCACAGAAAUGAAAUACCGCCUACCCCAACAUUUUGGAAUUAAAAAUCUACACCACCCAGAUCUUGCUGUGAUUUGGUAAAUCCCGAGAAAUUGACAACCUUCCUACGCUGGGGAGGCGUGGUUCCAUUCAAUGCCAACAUUUUCGGAUGGGUCCAGAGAGUUGUACAGUGACUUUUAAAUAAAGAAUUGUUUUAAACCUUGACUUUGGGCUCUUUAUCAGGAAUAUGAAAAUAUUGGGCAAUGACUAGAUUCGAGAGCAGGUUGCAUGCAUAGAUAUCGCAUUAAUUUUUAGCAAUCGUUAUGACGAAAGAAAAUCUGCAGAACCAAGCGAAUUUUCCUAGUCAUCAUGAGAGACAUUAGACAAGGUUUUCAAUUCAUAAAAUUGCCUUAUCAUCUGGAAUUAAAUAUUUUCAAGCUAAGGAUGAGGUUCAAUCCGUACGGGGCAAUGAAAAUAUAUGGAUGCCCUAUAGAGUGGUUGAACAUUCUACAGUUUCGUCCCUAUUUAUAGAAGAAGAUGAAAUUUUAAGCAAUUUGCUUCAAUGCAAUUUUAGCAUAUUUCAGCUAGUCAUAGCAACGUCUAAUUUCGUUGAUGUAGAAGAAGCUAACACCAAAGAUUCAUCUAGGUAGAAAGAAGUAUCGAGCAUGUAACUAACCGCAGAACUCACAUCUAGGGACCCUAUUGUAAAUAUAACAGGUGAUGGACAUAAAGAUAGAUAUGAGUAAAAGAGUGGAACAUAAAAUCCAAAUUUCAAAAGUAUGAUAGUUUUUUAGUGUUUCUUUGAAUCUCGUAGGAAUUUAGGUCAUUUUCAAUCUCAUCCAUGAGACAAGGUACAAUAAUUGUUGAAGAAUAAGAGUAUUGUUGGGCAGUUCGGCGAGCUAUAUAUAAAGAGAGAGACUUCUUAACCAUAUAAAUAUUAUCCUCUAUAACUCUAAAUUUUUUUUUCCUUUAUCCAAUAUAAAAUAUCACAAUCACUUUUAUGUAUGCACUCUUUUUAAUCACGUCGCAUAAAAUUACACCAUUUUCAAAGCUAAAUAAACUCCUAUAUAGGGGUCAUAUAUUGACUUCAAUACUCUUUGAAACGACUCACACUUAAUCAUAUAAACUCAUUAUAAUAAUGUAUUUCCUAAUUUCAUGGAAUUUCAAUAAAAUAUUUAUUACUUUCAAAUGGGAAUUAGAGAGGAAUGUUGUCUAGCUAACUCAUAAUUCUUCUUUAUAAGUUCAAAUUAGGUAUUUACUUCUUCCUACCAUUACCUCAUAUUUUGAUUGUUUCUUCGUUAAUAUAUAGUUGGUUAAACUAAUAAACUAGAGGUUAGGAUGGAGAUCAAUUUAGAUUAUGUUUGUUUUGAGUUUAAUAAACCCUUACGACUUUAAAAUGUGUUUAGAUAGUUAAGAGAAACUUAUACAUAUAUAAUAUUAAAAAAAUUUCCUCAUUUAAUGUGAGAUAUUAUAAUCAUCACUCAUGUAGACAUAAUAUAUUUGUUGUAAGUCAGAAGAUUGUAAAACCAAACAAAUUUUUUCAUUGAAAUAUAAUAUUAUUUGUAAUGGUUCACUUUCUCUCAUGGAUCCCAACUCCAUUAGGUUCUUCAUGAAGCUUGUUUCAGUUUAUUAACCACCGAUGUAGCAAAGAUGAUGAUAAGUAGUAUUUUUGUUUCUCAUAUGUUUUCAGACCUCAUCAAGCUUGAGUGCCUUAUCCCAUCUCUAACGCAUGUACCAUUGCCUCCAAAAUAUGUUGCCAGAUUAUACAUAAUAUCAUAAUUAUAGCUACUGAAGUCCAACGACUACCUAGCUAGUCUUCACUCCCAAAAACAUGAUGGUCACUUCUUUGAAAUAUAACUCUUAUCCUAGUGACUCAAACUCACCACCUCAUUGACAUCCGUCAUAAGAAUUUCAGAGACUCUUCAAAGUUUGAUCCACUUUUAUAGAUGAAUAAUGUAAAAUUCUUUUAUUCAAACAAAUUUGAUGAUCAAAUAUCUUUUCUUUCCUAAAAAUUAUAUUUCCUUUUUAUAAAUCUUAUUUUAAUGACCCAAUUACAGUAUGGUAGAUAUUGUUUGUUUCGAGUCCAAUAAACCCUUAUAACUUUAAAAUAUGAUUAAAUAGUUAAGAGAAACUUAUAAAUAUAUAAAUGUGAGGUCAAAUAAAUUUUCAUAUUGAGAUAAAAGAUUAACUUUAAUACUAUUUGUAAUGGUUUACUUUCUUUCAUGUAAACAUCAUCCACUUUAUACUCAAUGAAUCAUUGAAGCUUUAAAACAUAUUUACAUGAUUAAAAGAAACUCGUACAUAUAGUAUUAGAAUUUUUUUUUUCUGACCCAUGAUUUGCAAUAUAUGUAUAAAUACGUUUUAAAGUUAUGAGGAUUUAUUAAGUUCAGAGUAAAUAGUAUUUAUAUUAAAUGGAAUGACAUGUCACAUGCAAAUAAUAUCAAACUCAAUCUCCAAUUUUUAUAUAAGAGUUUGUUUGAUUUUAUAAAAAAUGUUUGUGUGUUUCAUUCUACAAUUCUGUGAGACACAACAUCCAUUUAAUUUAUUAAAGUCUUUUUAACUAUGUAAACAUGUUUUAAGUUGUUAAGAUUGAUUGGGUAAAAACAGAAGAGGUGAUUGUGUGUUUUAUCCUACAAUUCAAUGAGGCAAUGCCUAAUUGAUUCAUUGGGGUACUUUUAAUCGUUAAUGCAUGUUUCAAUGUUGCUAAGAUUGAUUGAGUGAGGAAAAUAUCUACAUAUGAAAGGCAACAGUUAGUUACACUUCAUUAUGUUUUUUUCUAAUAUAUUGAUAUAUGUCAAUUUCAGUAGUUAUUAAUUCAACAUCGCCCAAAGUAACCAAUGCCUCGCUUUUCCAAACAAAACUUUCUCUAUUGAUAUUUCUUAAAUAUAAAAUCAUGUCAUGGUAAGCAUCCGAUGGAUACUAAGACAAUUGGAUAGAUAUCUCAGAUAUUGAAUGGACCAAAUGGGGUAACGGAUGUGGUAGUAUACAAGCGCUGUAUAUCUUUUAAUUUAGAUAUACACACACAACGUAAUGCCUAAUCCAUCCAGCCGGGGGGCCGGCCAGAGAGAUAUAAAAUACCCCCAAUCCCAUCAUUUUGUAUUUUGUAUUGGAAUUAAAAAUCCAAACCCAGAUAUUGCUAUGAUUUGGUAAAUCCCGAGAAAUUGAGAACCCAUCCUGGGGGAGGCAUGGUCCCCCUAUUCAAUGCCAACCCUAUUUUCAAAUGGUGUCUAAAGAGUUGUACAGUUAACGGUGACUUUAAAAUAAAGAAUUGCCUUAAACCUUGAUUUUAGGCCCUUCUUCAAGAAUAUGAAAAUGCAUGUUGGGCAAUGAUUUAGAUUCGAAAGUGGGUUCUGCAGACAUCACAUUUCUGCAGAGCCGAAAAUAUUUACAAGCGUAGGACGAAGCUCAGUUCAGAUGGGCCUCGAAGAUGAAUUUUUAAGCAAUUUGCUUGAUACAUUCAGCAAUUGAUAAUUUAAAAUAAAAAAAAUUAGGAAAUAGAAAGUAAAACAUAUAUGGUUAAAACUUCAAUGCAAUUUUAGCAUAUUUGAACUAGUCAUAGGAGCGUUUAAUUUCUUUGAUGAAGAAGCUGAACACCAAAGAUUCAUCCAGGUAGAAAAAUGUAUUGACCAUCUAAUUGUCUGCAGAACCUACAUCUAAGUACCCCGCUAUAAAUAUAAGAGGCAACUUAGGUGAGGGACAUAUAGACACAUACGAAUGCCAUUGUAGAAUAUAAAAUCCAAAUUUCUCAAAACUAUAAGGUUAUGUUUGAAUCCAAAAAAAUAUUAGAGGAAGUGAAAAUGUUAAGAAAAAUAAUUUUUUAUGAUUAAUUUUAUUAUAAAAAAUAUAAAAAAUAAAUAUAAUUAAAAUUAGUUAGAAUUUUACAUAUUUUUAAAUUAUAUAAUUUGAAUUUAAAUAAAUAUAUAAAAAUAAGUCAUUAAUUUUAGAUCUAUUUCUUUUUUCUUUUUUUAUAUUCUCCCACAAAAUUUCAGUAACCGAACACAACCUAAUAGUUUCCACUGUUUCUUUGAAUUUCUCAACUUCAAAAUCUCUUGUCUAUGAGACCUCAGAGUAAUUAAUUCCUACCUCUUGGUGACUAGGCCAAGCGCAUGGAUAGGCACAUUGACCCACUUGUAAUUGCCUAGGCUAAUAGGCCAAGCUCAUAGCAAUUUUCCUUUUUUAUUUUUUAAUUUCGUCGUAGGACUUGGUCUCCACAAGGCACUAUAACGUAUCCCCUAAUUUCAUUUCAUGGAACUUUAAUAAAAUAUCUAUUGCUUUCAAGUGGGAACUGGAGAGCAACGUUGCCUAGCUAACUCACAAUCCUUCUAUAUAAGUUCAAGCUAGGUAUCUUCUUCCUUCCACCACUGCCCACUGCCUUGUAUUAGGAUAUCGUUUCUUAGUUAAUAUAUAGUUGAUUAAUUUCCAUCUCCAACUACUACUAUUAUUAGAAAAAUAUGGCUCUAACUGGCAAGCUAGAGGUUGAAAUGGAGAUCAAUUCACCUGCGGAUAAAUUCUAUAACAUCUUCAGGAGGCAAGCACACCACAUUCCUAAUAUCUGCUCAGAUAAAGUACACCAAAUUGAUGUACAUGAAGGUGACUGGGAGACUCCAGGCUCCGUCAAGAACUGGGGUUAUACUCUUGGUAAGGCAACCACAACUCAAACCCCAAAACCCUAGCACUAUUAGUCUGUAAAAAAAAAUGAUUUUUUUAGUUUUUCUAUUUCAUUUAAUUGUUUUUUUGUUUGGCAUUUUCCCCUUUAGAAUAUUAAUUUAACUGCAUUAAUUCGGAGUUGAUCCCAUCAUGUGGAAGUUUAUGCUUCUGUUAUGAAUACAGCUUUGUAUGCCUUCCUUAUGUUUAAUUCAACCUAAAGCAUGUAGAAUUGAUGGUCAAAGUCUAUGGGACCCUUUUUUCAUGACCGCCAUGCAUGGGGCUUUCCCAGGUGACUGCCCGCUACUAAAGGGGCCUAAAGUUUAGGUCCCCCGAGUUAGAACUUAGAAGAGGGAUUAUGAAUGAUCAGUGAAGUUGUAAGGUUUUGAUCUUCUUAGAUAUUACCUAGAAAGAGGAUUGACUUUACUUGACUUUUACCAUAUUGAUUUAGAGAUUGGCGAUUGCUUUAAAAGGUUGUGUCAACAGAAGAAAACUUAAAAAAUAUUAAGAAAAAUAAAAAAAAUGAUUUUGUUUUUAUAAAAAAAAUCAAAUAUAAUAAAAACGAGUUGAAAUUUUAUUUAUUUUUAAAUUAACUUUUAUAUAGAAGAAUUAAAAUACGUUAAGUAAAUUUGAAUCAAAAUAUAAAAAUAAUUAAUUUCUUAAUUUUAAAUUUAUUAUUUUUCUUUUAACUUCUUUUUUGUUUUUUCAUUUUCUUUUCUUUUGUAUUUUCUUCAAAUUUUUUUAGAACCAAAUAUAGUCAUUAUGAAAAGAUGGGCCACGAAGUGACUACGCAUGUCAAUUUGCUUGAGAUUUCGCAAUCUAGUAGUUUCAAAAUACUAUGCUUAACCCCUUGUUUUGGUUUGAAAUUACUAGGAGGGACUUCUAUGAGCCUUAAAGAGACUGUGGAAUCAGUAGAUGAUGAAAACAAGUCAAUCACUUUCAAGGUUGUGGAUGGAGAGAUCAUGAACCAUUUCAAGUGCUUCAAGUCCAACUUGCAAGUAAAAGCAAAGGAUGAGGGCAGCUUGGUGAAAUGGAGUCUGGAAUAUGAGAAAGUAAAUAAGGAUGUCCCAAAUCCUGAUGCUUACCUGGAGUUCGCAGUUAAUGUUACUAAAGAUAUUGAAAGCCACUACCUCAAGGCAUGACACCAAGGCCAUGUGGUAUCCUCGGUAGUAUUACUUCAAUAACGCUGGUGUUUGUAAUUUGGUUGAGUUGUAUGCUUUACCAGGAGUGGCCUUGUGAUUGGCUGGUUUCUUUUGUAAAGGCAUUAUCAUAUAUGAUGUAAAUACUGUACCUUAAAUAAAAAGAAAAUCAGCAAAGACCCUCCUUUUUAAUGUGGAUAAUUGCUUUUAAUGUCACCUUUGUUGAUCGGUUUACAAGACAAGAGUUAACAAGUAGUCCCUAUUUAUUAAAUAUAAGAAUUUUCUGUAUCCAUUAAUCAUCAUCAGUAAGCUAAUAAAAUGGCUGAUAUUUUUCUUAAUAAAAACAGCAACAGUUACUGAGUUUAUAUAUAGGACACCAGUUGCAGAUUAGAUUUCUUUGGCUUGAUUGUGAUCUUUCUACAUGUUGGAAAAAUAUUGUCAUUUGGUAUUUAAUAUCAAAUUUUAAAAAUAAUAUUUAAGAUAUGAAGAAAAAAACAUACAAUGAUUCAUAUUUUUAACUUUAAUAUGAUUUAAAGUUCAUCGAGUAACCGUUUUGAAAUCAUUCACCCUUGAUCUUCACUUUCCUAGUCUCCCUUUACACGUUCCUUAGUGGUGAGUAUGAAAAUGAUUCCAUUGAAUUGUAAGAAUGGAAAGAGGGAUAAAAAAUUCUUCUAUUUAUAAGCAUAGAAUGAUUCUUCUUAUCAGUGAACCAUUAACUAAAUACUUUAAACAUAUUAUUAAUUAAUAAUAAUAAUAAUAAUAAUUAUUAUUAGAAAAUAAAUUUCAUAAAUAUUAUAAAUUUAAAAAAGAAUCUAAUUUAAUUCUUAAAAAAUUUAUGCAUGAAAUUUUUAUAUUAUUUUUAAUUGUUUUCUAAGGGUUAUUUUAAGAAAUUAUUAUACAAACAUAUAAAAUAAUUAAAAAUAAAACAAUAGAUAUAAAAAUUAUUUUUAAAAAUAUUAAAAAUAAAUUCAAAAUAUUUUAAGUUGCCAAACAAAUUUUUUAUUCUACAAAAAUCAGAGAUAGUUUUCAAAAUCUCUUUUAAAAAACUAUUUUUCAGAAUUAUUUUAAAAAAUAGUUACCAAACAAGCCCUAAAAGAUUUAUAUAUAUAUAUAUAUAUGAAAUUAAAAAAAUAUCAAAUAAUAAAAAUUCAAACAAUGGUAAGGGUGUCACUAAUGAUCGGUUUGGAUUUAAACUAACAUUUUUUUAUAUUGAGUAAUUUAUUUUUUAUUCUAUAUAUUAGAAAAUUGAAUUUAAAUGUAACUUUUUCAAAUAAAAUAGUUAGAUCACACUUGAUAUAUAGUAAUAAUUUUUUAAAAACUAAUGGUCAUAAUUUAAAAAAAUGAUGAAAAAAAAAUCUCAAAUAUAUUGCAUAUGAAUGUAUAUAUUUAGUUUUAUACAACAUGUUAGACAUAUAUUAGUUAUUAACUUAUUAUAAUCUACUAAAAUAUUAAUUCUAUACGAGGGGAUUAGAUUUCUCAUUGUUGAUUUUAUAACCCUCAUUGUGGGAUUAUAAAAUGUCAUUGCAAUCACUCCCAAUUUAGUCUAUGCAAAUCAAAUAUAGAAAUGCAAUUUAUCUCUGUCACAAUUUGUUACACAAUAAUGAUAAUGGAUAAUAAAUAAAUAAAUAAAUAAAAUUAAAGAACACACAUUUAUGUAUAAAACUUUAGAUGAGAAAAAUCAUGGAUAAGGAAAAUGAAUAUCCAAUAUAUCAAAAGAUUGGUAUAAAAGAUGAGAAAUAUAAACAACUAUGAUAAAAAUAUAAUCAUCAUAACCUUAAAAUUAUGUGAAAGUAAUUAACAAAGUAGGUCCAUACAUAAGGACAAAGAGCCCCCUCAAAGGUAUCAAUGGUGGGGGUGUGGGGUGUGGGAUCGGAUCAAAUUCCAACGUUAUCAAUGGUAGGCUAGGGGAUCGGAUCAAAUAGAAUUUGGAUCGCCAAACCUUAAUACAUUUUAUGCUUUUUCUUAUUGGUUUAGAUUUAUGAUAAUCUCCUCCACCAGCAAAAUAAAGUUAUACCGGAGGAUUUUCUUUGUUUUGGCUGUCACACUUUCACUUCUUUGCUAAUAGCCUAACAUCAAAUGAGAAAAUAGAGACAUUUUAAAAAUGAGAACAAAUUCUCGAGGAUUUAGUUGUCUGCCACUAGACUAUAAAAAAUGCUUUCCUGUUAUUUUACCCCCUAAAAUAAGUUUGAUACAAUGCAUCUAUUUUCUGGCUCCGACAAUGUUUAAGAAUACAUCAACCGACCUCAAACCACAUUAUUUCGGUUUGAAAAGAAGGCUUUAUUAUGUCAGUAUGGCUGCUAAGAAGACUUUUGGAAUAUAAUAAAACAAGUCCAGCGAGUUGAUGGUUUGGAAUCGAGAGAUCAUGAAUGAUUUCCCUACUUUAGAGUCAAUAAUUAAGUGGAAUGUGAGAAGGUGAAUGAGGAUGGCCCGGGAUCCAAUGCUUACUAAACUAUUGAAGAUCACCUUCCUGAGGCAUAAUUCCAUUACUUUUCAUCGACGCUGCGAUGCUAUAAAAGAAUAUUAUAAAAAUGCAAGGGUAAUGAAAUAUUGUACAGCCUUUACCGUAUUGAAGAACGUGGACUGAUUGCUAGGGUACCCAACACCCACCAUAAUUCCCACACCAACUCCCAACCAACCCGAUCACGUAGGGCCUCACAUGGCCUCAUUAUCAUUUAUGUGGAAAGAUAAUGCUAAACUAUAUACGGGAUGGCCAUUCUACCAGCCAACCUGUAAUGAUUUUGAUAAAAGUAUACUAAAAAUAGAAGGAGAAAUUAAGUUAUCAUUUGAUAACGGUUUUUAAAAAUUGUUUUUAAUAUUUUAUAAAAUAAAAUUUUAUUUAGAAAUACAAAAUAUUUUUAACUUAUUUUUAAUAUUUUAUAUGUAUAUAUAUAUAUAUAAAGAGAGAGCGCUUUAUUUUUAAUUAUUUUUCAUAUUUAUAUAAUUAUUUUUUAAAACAAUUUCAAAAAAACAAGUGAAAAUAACUAAAAAAAUAUUCUUUGAGAUAAAGAUCAAAAAACAUAAAAUAGUUUUUUUUAUUAUCAAACAUGUUUUAUGUUUUCUAAUCUGUGUUUUUUUAAUUUGUUUUUUGUUUUCAAAUCUUAAGAUCACUUAAUUUUUUAGGGUUUUUUUUAAGAAAUAAUUAUAUAAAUAUAUAAAAUAAUUAAAAAUAAAAUAUUAGACAUAAAAAUUAUUUUUAAAACAUAUUUAAAAAUAUUAAAAACAAGUUUAAAAUAUUUUAAGUUAUAAAAUAAGCUUUUUUUUUUUUACAAGAAUCAUAAAAUAAUUUUUAAAAACUAUUUUAAAAUAUUAUUUUUGAAAAUAAUUAUCAAACCCCUUAUUUUCUAUUCUCAAAAAAUGUUUUUUAAUUAUCAAAUGUGGUGUCUAUUUAAAUUUAAGAUUUUAAAUUUUAAAUUUAGUUAUUUCCAAGUUAUGAUCUCUUGAUAUUAUUUCAACCUAUUAUUUAUUUAUUUGUUUGUUUUUCACAUAAAUAAACUAAAAUUCAAUUGUAUAACCCAGUAUGAAUCACGUGGGCCCUUAGUGAGGCUGGCUACAACUAAAUCAACGUUCUUUUGAUAAUCGAUUGCCUAUGAAAGAAAUCAUCACGCCUUACACACAAUAGAAUAAAUUAAUAAGAAAGUAAGAAGAUUAGAAAGAAAAGCAUCUUAGAGGAAGGGUUUUUUUUUUUUUAACUUCUUGGUGGUGACACUGGAUGGGCUUUUGAUAAUUGUACGACGAAUUUAAAAUUAAUGUUUUAAAAUACGGUAUUAAAAAAUAUUUUCAAAUUUAUGGUACUUUUUACCACUUUGAAACAUGUUUCUUAAAAAAGCAUAUUUCAUCGUUUUUAUAUUAAUGAUACACAUUCAAAAAAAAAAAAAUUAAAGGUGUCUUUUUGAAAUAUAUUUUUCAUAAUUUUUAUAUCAAUAACACACAUUAAAAAAUUUUGAAUUUAUAUUAAAAGUGUCUCUUCAAAAAACACAUUUUAUAAUUCCAUAAAAUUAAAUUUAUAUUAAAAGUGUCUUUUAAAGAUAUACUUUUUACAAUUUUCAUAUCAGUUAUAUAGUGAAAAAAUUGAAUUUAUAUUAAACAUAUUUCUUUAAAAGACAUUUUCUACAAUUUCAUAAAAUUAAAUUUAUAUUAAAGGUAUCUCUUUCAAUAAUUUUUGUAUCAAUCAUCCAUUGAAAUAAUUGAAUUUAUACUAAAAAUAUCUUUUUAAAAGACACCAUCCAUAAUUUCAUAAAAUUAAAUUUAUAUUGAAAUGUUUCUCUUUAUACUUUUAAUAUAAAUUUAAUUUUUUUAUAGGUGAUUAAUAUAAAAAUUAUGAAAAGUAUUUAUUUAAAAAAUAUUUAUUAUAAAUUCAAUUUUAUAGAAUUAUAAAGACGUCUUCAACGUAAAUUCAAUUAUUUUUUCAAUGUGUAAUUGAUAUGAACAUUAUGAAAAAUGUCCUUCAAAAGACACUUUUAGUAUAAAUUUGAUUUUAUGGUAUUAUUAAAAGUAUAUUUCUUUAAUAUAAAUUCAAUUUUUUAACAUGUAUAACUAAUGAAAAAUUAUAAAAAAAUUAUAUUUUGAAGAGAUAUCUUUAAUAUAAAUUCAAUUUUUUAACAUGUAUAACUAAUGAAAAAUUAUAAAAAAAAUUAUAUUUUGAAGAGAUAUCUUUAAUAUAAAUUCAAUUUUAUAGAAUUAUAAAAGAUAUCUAUUGAAAAAAUACUUUUAACAUGUAUCAUUGAUAUGAAAAAUAUAGAAAAUAUCUUUUCAAAAAACACUUUUUAAAAUGGUAAAAAGUACCAUAAAUUUAUCAAAAGUUUUAUAACUAUCAUAGAAAUUUUUUUCAAAAGUUCCAUUUUUUAAUAAUUAUUUUUUUAAAUAGCCGUACAAGUUAUAUAAAAAAAAACCCGAUACUCCAUAAAAUGUGAUCAAGUAGGAUUUGCAUCAUGCAACCUCAUACAAAUAAUAAAAAGCAUAAAUCACUUGAAACUUGAAAGUGAUUGGAAUUUGGCAGACUCUAGCUAGCUAGGUUGCCAUAAAUGACAUGGGUCAGUGGCCGACACCCACCAAACCCAGCACUUAAUAAUAUAAUUAAUAUACUAUUAUUAUAGAACCAUCGUUUUCAGGAUAGGGAGCAUCAAAUUAACCUCCCCAAGUCAAACUGCACAAUUUGUUUCAUCGAAAUCGAAUAUCUAAUAAUGAAUGAUUAUGGGUGAGAUUGCAAUCCGCCAAUCCUUUGCCUAGCUCUUUGAAAAUCAAUGAUGAUGCUUAGUAUUAAUAUUUUAUUUAUCUUUUUAAUAUGAAAAUAAAAAUAUCAAAAUAAUUUUAAACUUUUUUCGUGGAGAUAAUGCUCCCCAGUUAAGCUGCUUAUAAGGUAUAAAUUAAUAAUAACCUUUUAAUUUUAAUAAAAGCAAUUUGAUACAUAUCACAUCUUAAUUCACUUGAGUAAUAACUAUUUAAGAUUGGAUUUAGGUUAACUUAGAUUAAUUAGAUUGUAUUCAGGUUAAUUAAACCAUAAUCAUAUUAUUAUCAACAAUUUCUCACAACUAUCCUAUUUUUAAUAUGAAUUAUUCCUAGUUCUCAAAUUAUUGUUUAGGUAGUUUUAUUAUCUUAAAAAACAUCUUUUUUUGUCAUUGGUUCUGCAUGGUUAUUAAAUAAGAAAAUUAUAAUUAUCUUAUCAACUAAUUUGAAGACUUUUCACAAAUUCAUACUUUAAAAACCUCUUUCUUUGUCGUGGGUCCCUACAUGGUUAUUAAAUAAUAAAAUUGUAAUAAUUUUAUCAAUUAAUUUGAAGACUUUUCACAAAUUUAUACAAUACUAGUUAUCGGAAAUGUGUCACAAAGAAGAUGCCAAGCUAAAAGCAAAUCAUGAUUCAUUAUUUUUUUUCCCAAUUGGAGCUCGAUGACCCAAUCCGAAUGCAUUAACAUCAAAAUUAGUGUUUUAUACUAUUUUCAAUGAACCUUGUCAACAUGAUCGUGAAAUGAUUUAUGAUUAUUUUCAAUAAACCUUUCAUCGAAACUAUGUGUAGAACUGCAUGAAUAAAUAAGAAAUUUUCAUAGUUACAGAUUUGCAUUAUCUCACUCUAUAUGAUUUUAUAUAGUUUUUUUUUUAAUACUUCUGCAACAUUUCUUUAGAAAAAAUAUUGUAUCAAUAAAUUCAGUAAUUUUCAUCAAUUUCAAUCUUAUAAUUAAAUGAUACUUCUGUCAUGUAUAUCACCAUACGUGUCACACUUCAUUCAAGAUCAGGUUGAUUAGUCAUGUAUACCUGCUCCAUUAAUAAAGUAUUAAGUUUUUAUUUUAUUUUAUUAAAAUAAUAAAUAAAUAAUAUAAUUUUUUUUUAUUAGAGGUAGUUAGGUAUCAUUAAAUGAUUUGUUGUCCUGCCAUGUCCCCAAUUAAUAAUUUUAUACUUUUCAUUUUUUUCAAAGGAUUUAAAAUAUAAAAUAUUAAAGAUAAAAUAUCUGAAAGUACCGCUUCCAUACCCAAUCAAAUUUUAAAUCUAAAUUAUUGACAUGUGAGUGAAAUUUGGACUAUUAAAUAAAAAGUGAAAAAAAAAUAAAAUAAUAAAUAAUUAAAAAUGUUCCUGCAAGGAGAUGUGACUAAGGUUAAAAAAGGAGGGGAUAAGGAGCGGCUAGGAAUAUGUAAACAAAAUUCAAAUAAUUAAAAAACGAAAUGAUAACUUCUCAAUGAAAUUGAAUGUUUCAGUUCUAAAAUCCAAAACAAAAACUAUAGUGAAAGAAAAAUUUGAGAAAAUAUAGCAUGGUCUUCUCUUUAAUGAUUGAUAAAUAUUUAUAUAUAAAUAAAGUUUAUUUUCCAUUAUAAUUUAGAUUAGUCGAGUCUUGUUUUCUACUCAAAUUCAAACUUCACAUUUUGUUAUAAUUUAAUCUAAUAAUAAUUGUUUUCACAAGACAAGCUGAAGUUAUCCAUUAAAAUACAACUUUUAAUUAAUAGUUUAAAAAAUAAGAUAAAUUUGAAAAUAAUUUUAAAAUUUAAUAAGUAUAUAUAUUUUUAAAUAGCAUUUUUUUUUUUAAAUUGCCAAAUCUAUGCUCAGAAAAGAUCCACAAAAGUUGAUCAACAAAAGAUACCGAACAGGAAGUAGAUGAUAAUCCAUUAUUUUCUUCUUUAUUAAAGUUUGACAACCCAAUCUGAAUUCAUUAACGUGAAAAGCAGUGUUGUAUGCUCAUUUUCAAUGAACCUUGUCAACAUGCACGUCAAAAACAAUGAUUUAUUAACUACGUACAUGUAGAAUUCCAUGGGAAAAAAAAAAAUACAAUUAAGGCCUUGGGAGAUGAAUAAAAGCUUAACCUAAAAUUCAAAAUUCUCAAAACCAUGUUUUUUCACACCAAAAUGUUUCAUCCAGCCAACCUAAGACCGAUUGAAUCCUCCCUCUAAAGCACAUUGCCCAAGAUUACAGGCAACGUAGUAAUUACCUAAGCAAGUACGUCAGAAUCAUAGCAAUUUUUACCAAAGUGGGUAUCGGGAAGGAGCUUUGCCUAAUUCAUUCUUCGACAAGGUUAUCUACUUCCUCUCGUCACUGCCUUCUGUUUGAAUCAUUUGUAGUUAGUUUUAUCAAUCCAGCUAGUGUUAUUAUCAGAAAAACAUGGCUCUAACUGCUAAAGUGGAGACUGAAACAGAGAUCAAAGCACCUGCUGAUAAGUUCUUUAAACUCUUCAGGAGCCAAGCACACCACCUUCCUAAUAUCUGCUCCGAUAAAAUACACAAAAUCGAGGUACAUGAAGGUGACUGGGAGACUCAGGGCUCCGUCAAGCAUUGGAGUUACACCAUUGG